This is a long non-coding RNA of Anas platyrhynchos (mallard), 3105 nucleotides long. RefSeq lists it as uncharacterized. The record is from RefSeq and is a predicted model, not a curated record. NCBI's taxonomy places the organism in Eukaryota, Metazoa, Chordata, Aves, Anseriformes, Anatidae.
CAGAGCUAUAAAAACAGCUAAACCUACAUAUGGUGAUCAGUGCACUGAGAGCAAGAGUCAUGCAAAACUUUGGCUCCCUGCAUAGCUUCAGGAGCCAUUGGCAACUGCAGCCUCUCCCAGGGCCAUUCAAAACCACAGCUCAAGCAGCCUGGAAAUCAUUCUGCAAUCUGUUUUUGCCUAUCUGAAAGAAAGCCAGAAGGCCUCUGGUGUCUGACUUAACUUCUUAUUCCUUACAUAGAUUGUUUCACUGAUGCAUCCUGAAAUUCUUUUUUUUUCAGCAGCAAGAGGAAGCACAUGGCAGAAAGCUGGGAGGAGAAAUCCUGUACUUAAUUUCCUGUAACUGCCUCUGCAGCUCCGUCAGCUCAGCAGCGUCAAGGCAGUAAAAUCCUUGUGACCAUCAGCAAAGUGUUUUCUACAGAUGUAACUAUUUCAAGGAUCCUUGAGACUGCGCAGGCAGAAUCAGUGAAGUGAAAGUGGCUGCCUGUGGGCAGACUGCACAAAAAGGACUGACAACAAGGAAUGCAGGGACCAACGGUUUGCUCUGGGUACAGUCUAGGCACAGCUUCAUAGGGAGGCAAAACAGGUGUGGAGGAUUAAACACAGGAAAAGUGAAAUGACUGACUAAAAAUCAGUACAAAACAAUCUCUGAGGAGUACAGAACUCAUCUAUUAAACAUGAGAAUAACAGUUAUUUAGUUUUGACCAACAGAAAAGAGCAGAUUAGCAGGCCAGCUGCUAGUCACUGAACUGGGCUGAACCAGGAGUAGCUGAUAAGGUUCAUUAAUUCUUGCCCACUCAGCCCUUGCAGUCUGCUAGCACUGGUGUUGGGGAAAUGGGAGAUUGAGGAUACAACUGAACCUACACACUGAUCCUCGAGUCCAGCUGCUGAAGGUGUUCAAGAACUCCAUAAGGAAUUGUAGGAUUCCAUAUCCUAUUGAUUCAUCCUACAGCACUCGGAUGUCAUGGAGCUAAAGUUUCCCCUUUUUCCCGCUGAGCCAACAAGUUAUAUAUACUCAUCAGAAGGCAUUAAAGAUGGACAGGGAUGUUCCUCCUCAGUUAGCAAGUUUUGCAUCUAUGAAACUCUUUCCCUGUUCUGCAUCUUCCAGGUAUUUUAAGAAAACAUUGGCCAGUUUGUAACUGCCUCCUUGAGCUGCUGCCCUUGGGGCUCCAGGUGACAUGAGCAACAGCCCAGCCACUAACUGGCUUCCUGACAGAGUGUCUGUCCAUGAGAUUGGCUAGAGAAUGAGCAAGGAAUGAAAUACAUCCAACUUUGAGUUCCAGACCCAGCUGAGGGGCAAAGCUACACCCAAUGGUGGUAGAAGUGUGUAGAUUUCCAGACUCCUGCCACACAUGUCCUUCAUCAGUGGCUGGCUAUGUUACCAAGUACCUAGAAAACUAUGAAGUCAUGUCCUUUGCCAUAGCCUAUAACGGUUCCAAAGAAUCUACAGUGAAUUGUUCCUUAAACCCUUCCAACCACUGACUGACUAGACUCCACCUAAGUGCCUUUGCCCUUCGCACAAGACUGGGAAUAAUGCAUAGCUUUCCUGUAUGGAGAGGCAACAACAAGACAAGCCUUCAGCAUUUCCUAAACUCAGAUCAACCUUCUCAAGAAUUUUCUGCCAUUGCAAUCUAAGUUUUCAGGCAGAUAUGGAUCAGGGGUCACCUCAAUCUUUCCACAACUUUUCUGUCUCAACGAAUGUCAGCUUCAAAGCCCAACAUAACCACGCAGAUUUUUUUUCCCUGCAAAUUUUGUCUCCUCUACCCUCAGCGUGGAAGAUCUGAAUGUUCAGUAUCCAAGCAAAUAAGCUCUCCUGAUCCAUUUCAAAAGAUUUCAUACUCACUCUAGCACUCUUAAAGAUGCCAUCGCAUGAAGAACUUUUGCAAGAUUUUCUGCUCCAAAAUCACAAAUGUUAUUAUUGUACAAGCUGCAGACAACAAAACCAGUAUAGUUACAAUCAAAUAAUGAACAAUGUAAACAGAUUAUAUAUUAGAUCACGAAAUUCUGGAUAUAAUUGGUACAUCUUAACUUCCAAUUUUCCUUAUCUAAUUGCAGCUAAUCAUUUCAUGUUUCUAAACAGUUUCAUGGUUUCUAUAUCAAGCAAGGCAAAUAGCUUUUUUCAGCUUACACAGCUACAGCAAAAAUAGGUCUAGGAUUCUUAAUGAAUACUAAGAACAUUCCUGACUACAUCAGAGAAAAUUAAUAAUCUGCAAGAAAAUGAGGCUCAAAUCUUUGGUGCACUGCAUUCAAAAGUUUUCAAUGUGAGCAAAUUAUCCAAGAAGUGCACACCACAGUUUUUUGUAUUCCCCCUGAGACACUUCAUUCAGGCCUAUGCCAGAGACAUAAAUGAAGCGAAAUGGGCCAUUUGUCCCUUACCAGCAAGUAUGCGCUACCUCACUGAUGGCUUAGCAAGCUCUGCAUACAUGUAAGCUUGCAAUGGAUCAUGUUCUUGUGUGUGAAUUUGUAAAGGGCAUUAUUAAGCACUAGGUAUUAUGAAUUAGAUUUUAAAAUCAGUAUGUUCAUUGUUAUAUUCCUGAGAUAUGCUUCUGUAUGACUACACUGGGUCAUAUGUUUAUCUUCUCCUUUCAGGCUUUGUAGUCAAAACUUGGCUAUUGCAAGUUGUGUGCACAUGGAUUCUGUUUCCAGUGAUUUCUGACAGAGACAGUAAGGUGUGUUAUGUAAAACAACUGAACAGGACACAACCACUUACCUUAGUGUUGUUAAUGAAGAUAAGGCAGGAAGAGUUGUAGCUAGUUUCUCUGCACCCACAUCUGUUAUCUUAUUCUGUGAUAAGCUACAGUAGAUGAGAUGGCUUUGUUAGCUGAGCACAUUUAUUCUAAUUGAUUAAUAUAUGGAGCAAAUUGAUUUUAGAUGUUGUCCCGAACAACAAAGGUGAUGCUACAAUACAGUGUGAUAAGGCCUAGAGUUACCAUUAACCCAAGACCUUUCCUCAGGAUUUAAGAUAAUACAGUUUCAAGAGUCUUUCCUUACAAAAAAGAUUAAAUUUGGCACAUUUCUGCAAAAAAUUGAGAGCAGUAACUGGUACUUCUCAGUCAAAAAGAAAAGCAGGAAAAAAGAAAGAAAAACAAAUACCCAGAAAAAUAUUAC